RNAcentral lists this ribosomal RNA (479 nucleotides) under uncultured bacterium. Its description in RNAcentral is "partial 16S ribosomal RNA". It matches the Rfam family "Bacterial small subunit ribosomal RNA", at positions 28 to 507 of the family's 1533-position model. The record is from RNAcentral.
GAUGAACGCUAGCGGGAGGCCUAACACAUGCAAGCCGAGCGGUAUUGUUUCUUCGGAAAUGAGAGAGCGGCGUACGGGUGCGUAACACGUGUGCAACCUGCCUUUAUCUGGGGGAUAGCCUUUCGAAAGGAAGAUUAAUACUCCAUAAUAUAUUUAACUGCAUCGUUUAAUAUUUAAAGCUCCGGCGGAUUGAGAUGUGCACGCGCAAGAUUAGCUAGUUGGUGAGGUAACGGCUCACCAAGGCGAUGAUCUUUAGGGGGCCUGAGGGGGUGAUCCCCCACACUGGUACUGCGACACGGACCAGACUCCUACGGGAGGCAGCAGUGAGGAAUAUUGGUCAAGGGGUGCAAGCCUGAACCAGCCAUCCCGCGUGAAGGACGACUGCCAUAGGGGUUGUAAACUUCUUUUGUAUAGGGAUAAACCUACCCUCGAGAGGGUAGCUGAAGGUACUAUACGAAUAAGCACCGGCUAACUCCGUG